GCAGGGUGUGGUGGUGCACACCUGUAAUCCCAGCUACUUGGGAGGCUGUGGCAGGAGAACUGCUUGAACCCGGGAGGUGGAGGUUGCAGUGAGCCGAGAUUGUGCCACUGCACUCCAGCCUGGGUGACAGAGCAGGACUCUGUCUCAA
This 148-nucleotide small RNA is filed under the name Pongo abelii (Sumatran orangutan). RNAcentral's name for it is "Metazoan signal recognition particle RNA (ENSPPYG00000040588.1)". The record is from Rfam by way of RNAcentral. Lineage: Eukaryota; Metazoa; Chordata; Mammalia; Primates; Hominidae.